CUAAACUGACCAUUUGAGGCAGACAUUCUAAACUUUACUUGAUGAUAACCAAUAAACGAGAAACGAAUGAGUAGAUAGAAAUUGUGAAAUUGACCUCACUUGAUGGCAUGACAGACCGUCAAGAAUAUAUCUAGAACAAUUGCAUUUUUUGUUUAUGAUACUGACUUUAUCAGCAAGAAUAUCAAGCGAGCCCGCUAGGGCGAGCUGAUAUUCGAGCUGAUGAAGUCAUCAUCAAAACAUAAAAUGCCAUUGUUCUUUUUAUCGGCAAUUUGUCUUAACAAAAUGUGUUUUAGGUUUAGAAUAUGGAAUAAAUGAAUUAGUUUGUCAAACAACUUUUACGCGUACAAAACGUCGGGAUAGUUGUUCGGUUGUAUGAAUGAAGUCGCGUGCAGUUCAUUGGUAAAUUACCGACGAACAUAGCACGAGACGUUGCUGCAGUGAUAUACGUGACGUCAUUACCUACUAUUUUCGAGUAUCUAGUCCUGUCCAUAAUCCAAACAAAUAUUUGGCAGUAAGCUCAAAGACAAAAUGUACAAAUUGACGAUAAUUGUACCUAAAUACAU
RNAcentral lists this long non-coding RNA (563 nucleotides) under Mytilus galloprovincialis (Mediterranean mussel). Lineage: Eukaryota; Metazoa; Mollusca; Bivalvia; Mytilida; Mytilidae. The record is from RNAcentral.